This 249-nucleotide ribosomal RNA is filed under the name uncultured bacterium. Its description in RNAcentral is "partial 16S ribosomal RNA". It matches the Rfam family "Bacterial small subunit ribosomal RNA", at positions 528 to 776 of the family's 1533-position model. The record is from RNAcentral.
GAGGUCCCGAGCGUUGUUCGGAUUCACUGGGCGUAAAGGGUGCGUAGGUGGUGGAGUAAGUUUGAUGUGAAAUCUCCGGGCUUAACCCGGAAACUGCAUUGAAUACUAUUCCGCUGGAGGUUUGGAGGGGGGACUGGAGUUCUCGGUGUAGCAGUGAAAUGCGUAGAUAUCGAGAGGAACACCAGUGGCGAAGGCGAGUCCCUGGACAACACCUGACACUGAGGCACGAAAGCUAGGGGAGCAAACAGG